Molecule: ribosomal RNA, 487 nt
Filed under: uncultured bacterium
Lineage: Bacteria
Description: bacterial SSU rRNA
Rfam family: Bacterial small subunit ribosomal RNA
Source: RNAcentral
AGUGAAUAGAUACCCUGGUAGUCCUGGCAGUAAACGGUGCGCGUUUGGUGUGGGAGGAUUCGACCCCUUCUGUGCCGGAGCUAAACGCGUUAAACGCGCCGCCUGGGGAGUACGGUCGCAAGAUUAAAACUCAAAGAAAUUGACGGGGGCCCGCACAAGCGGUGGAGUAUGUGGCUUAAUUCGAUGCAACGCGAAGAACCUUACCUAGCCUUGACAUGCAUCUCUAAGUCGGUGAAAGCCGGCGAGUGUAGCAAUACACAAUUUGCACAGGUGCUGCAUGGCUGUCGUCAGCUCGUGUCGUGAGAUGUUGGGUUUAAGUCCCGCAACGAGCGCAACCCCUGUGAACUGUUGCCACCUACAUUCGUGUAGAGCACUCUGUUCAGACUGCCCUGUGAAACGGGGAGGAAGGUGGGGAUGACGUCAAGUCAGCAUGGCCCUUACGGCUAGGGCUGCACACGUACUACAAUGCUCAGUACAGAAUGAACCG